UUGACGCAAUGAUGACUGCAUAGUUCAGCGGAUUGUCCGUGAAGAAAAAAAAAAUUUGUCUUUCGACCCUAUCUGAGGUGUCUC
This is a small nucleolar RNA of Nerophis ophidion (straightnose pipefish), 84 nucleotides long. RefSeq annotates it as small nucleolar RNA snR60/Z15/Z230/Z193/J17. The transcript has a single exon. NCBI's taxonomy places the organism in Eukaryota, Metazoa, Chordata, Actinopteri, Syngnathiformes, Syngnathidae. The record is from RefSeq and is a predicted model, not a curated record.